CUACGGGUCGCUCCAGUGAGGAAUUUUGCGCAAUGGGGGAAACCCUGACGCAGCAACGCCGCGUGAGUGAAGAAGGCUUUCGGGUCGUAAAGCUCUGUCAGAUAGGAAAAAAGUUCAUAUGUAAAUAGCUUAUGAAUCUGAUGGUACUAUCAGAGGAAGCACCGGCUAACUCCGUGCCAGCAGCCGCGGUAAUACGGAGGGUGCAAGCGUUGUUCGGAAUUACUGGGCGUAAAGGGCGUGUAGGCGGUAUGGUAAGUCAGAUGUGAAAGCCCUGGGCUUAACUCAGGAAGUGCAUUUGAUACUGCCAGCCUUGAGUAUGGGAGAGGAGAGUAGAAUUCCCAGUGUAGAGGUGAAAUUCGUAGAUAUUGGGAGGGAUACCCGUGGCGAAGGCGACUCUCUGGACCAAUACUGACGCUGAGACGCGAAAGCGUGGGGAGCAAACAGGAUUAGAUACCCUGGUAGUC
This 464-nucleotide ribosomal RNA is filed under the name uncultured bacterium. RNAcentral's name for it is "partial 16S ribosomal RNA". It matches the Rfam family "Bacterial small subunit ribosomal RNA", at positions 339 to 795 of the family's 1533-position model. The record is from RNAcentral.